GACGAACGCUGGCGGCGUGCUUAACACAUGCAAGUCGAACGGAAAGGCCCUCCUGUGGGGUACUCGAGGGGCGAACGGGGGGGGAGUACGAGAGUAACAUCCCCCUCUCGUUGUUAGAAUGUCAUGAAACAGGGGCGAAUACCGUAGAGGAGCACCUGCUGCAUGGUGGGGGGGGGAGAGUUUCGGCGGCUGGGGCUGGACUCGCGGCUUAUCAGCGGGUUGGUGGGGUAGUGGCUCACCAAGGAGGUGACGGGUAGCCGGCCGGAGAGGGUGACCGGCCACAUUGGGACUGAGAUACGGCCCAGACUCCUACGGGAGGCAGCAGUGGGGAAUAUUGCACAAUGGGCGGAAGCCUGAUGCAGCAACGCCGCGUGCGGGAUGACGGCCUUCGGGUUGUAAACCGCUUUCGCCUGUGACGAAGCGUGAGUGACGGUAAUGGGUAAAGAAGCACCGGCUAACUACGUG
This 465-nucleotide ribosomal RNA is filed under the name uncultured bacterium. RNAcentral's name for it is "partial 16S ribosomal RNA". It matches the Rfam family "Bacterial small subunit ribosomal RNA", at positions 28 to 507 of the family's 1533-position model. The record is from RNAcentral.